GUAGGCAAAUCCGCCCGUCAUAUACCGAGGCCAACGAUCGAGCCAGCUUGCUGGUGAAGUGACUGAACGAGGUUCCAGGAAAAGCCACUAAGCUUCAGCUAUACACGACCGUACCGCAAACCGACACUGGUGCGCGAGAUGAGUAUUCUAAGGCGCUUGAGAGAACUCAGGAGAAGGAACUCGGCAAAUUGACACCGUAACUUCGGAAGAAGGUGUGCCCUAUUAGUGUGAAGUGAACAACGGAGCAUGAAUGGGUUGCAAAAAAUCGGUGGCUGCGACUGUUUAUUAAAAACACAGCACUCUGCAAACACGAAAGUGGACGUAUAGGGUGUGACGCCUGCCCGGUGCUGGAAGAUUAAAUGAUGGGGUGCAAGCUCUUGAUUGAAGUCCCAGUAAACGGCGGCCGUAACAAUAACGGUCCUAAGGUAGCGAAAUUCCUUGUCGGGUAAGUUCCGACCUGCACGAAUGGCGUAACGAUGGCCACACUGUCUCCUCCUGAGACUCAGCGAAGUUGAAAUGUUUGUGAUGAUGCAAUCUCCCCGCGGAAAGACGGAAAGACCCCAUGAACCUUUACUGUAGCUUUGUAUUGGACUUUGAACAGAUCUGUGUAGGAUAGGUGGGAGGCUUUGAAGCAGGGUCGCUAGAUCUUGUGGAGCCAACGUUGAAAUACCACCCUGGUGUGUUUGAGGUUCUAACCUAGGUCCAUUAUCUGGAUCGGGGACAGUGCAUGGUAGGCAGUUUGACUGGGGCGGUCUCCUCCCAAAGCGUAACGGAGGAGUUCGAAGGUACGCUAGUUACGAUCGGACAUCGUGACGAUAGUGCAAUGGCAUAAGCGUGCUUAACUGCGAGACUGACAAGUCGAGCAGAUGCGAAAGCAGGACAUAGUGAUCCGGUGGUUCUGUAUGGAAGGGCCAUCGCUCAACGGAUAAAAGGUACUCUGGGGAUAACAGGCUGAUACCGCCCAAGAGUUCAUAUCGACGGCGGUGUUUGGCACCUCGAUGUCGGCUCAUCUCAUCCUGGGGCUGUAGCCGGUCCCAAGGGUAUGGCUGUUCGCCAUUUAAAGAGGUACGUGAGCUGGGUUUAAAACGUCGUGAGACAGUUUGGUCCCUAUCUUCCGUGGGCGCUGCAGAUUUGAGGAAGCCUGCUCCUAGUACGAGAGGACCGGAGUGGACACACCUCUGGUGUAUCGGUUGUCACGCCAGUGGCAUUGCCGAGUAGCUAAGUGUGGAAGAGAUAACCGCUGAAAGCAUCUAAGCGGGAAACUCGUUUCAAGAUGAGAUCUGCCGGGGCCUUGAGCCCCCUAAAGAGUCGUUCAAGACCAGGACGUUGAUAGGUCAGGUGUGGAAGCGCAGUAAUGCGUUAAGCUAACUGAUACUAAUUGCUCGUGCGGCUUGACCCC
This 1399-nucleotide ribosomal RNA is filed under the name metagenome. RNAcentral describes it as "bacterial LSU rRNA". It matches the Rfam family "Bacterial large subunit ribosomal RNA", at positions 1532 to 2925 of the family's 2925-position model. The record is from RNAcentral.